RNAcentral lists this non-coding RNA (23 nucleotides) under Rattus norvegicus (Norway rat). The record is from RNAcentral. Lineage: Eukaryota; Metazoa; Chordata; Mammalia; Rodentia; Muridae.
UCCCCUGAGUGAUCGAUGAUGAC